RNAcentral lists this long non-coding RNA (700 nucleotides) under Nicotiana benthamiana. RNAcentral describes it as "long non-coding RNA (NBEN_LNC026216)". Lineage: Eukaryota; Viridiplantae; Streptophyta; Magnoliopsida; Solanales; Solanaceae. The record is from RNAcentral.
UCUGUUGUUACAGCACCCCAAGAUCAGCCAGAAUCCUCUGUGUUGCCUAAUCCUUUGGAGAAUGUCUCCACUGGCACAGGUCCUGCACAACAGUAUCCUACAGACCUACCUGAUCCUCUGGAGAAUGUUUCCACUUGCACAGCUCCUACACAUCAGCAUACGCAGGCACUAGCUACAGAUCAGCAAUGGAAUGCAUAUGUCCACAGUGUAACCAUGGGUGAGAAUUGCAAUAAAGGAAAGGCUGUUAUAGAGGUACCAGAUGCUGGUUGGGUAGGACAGCAGAUUGAUCCAGGCCCCUCUCAUACUCCUUCUGUUACAUGAUUAUUGUUACAUGGAACAUUAGAGGGCUAAUCAAAGCCCAUAAGCAGAAAGAGUUGAAAAACUUUCUUGCUGUAAAUAAGGUAGAUAUUUUGGGUUGUCUUGAAAUUAGAGUAAAGGAGCAUAAAGCUAAAAAGAUCAAAUGGAAGAUAGCAAAGGCAUGGAAGGUUUACUGUAACUAUUUAGAAGCAGUGAAUGGGAGAAUCUGGCUGCUAUGGAAACCACAUAUUCAGGUGACUAUAUCACAAGUGACUGACCAGUUUGUACAAUGUUACUUAGAAGAUCCUCAUAGCCAAGUCAAAACUCACUUUAGUAUUAUAUAUGCUCAAAAUACUGCUAACCUUAGAGAGUAGUUGUGGAGUGAUCUUAGGAACAUUUCAAU